This 177-nucleotide small nuclear RNA is filed under the name Seriola dumerili (greater amberjack). RNAcentral describes it as "U2 spliceosomal RNA (ENSSDUG00000001924.1)". It matches the Rfam family "U2 spliceosomal RNA". From Rfam's summary of the family: U2 is a small nuclear RNA (snRNA) component of the spliceosome (involved in pre-mRNA splicing). Complementary binding between U2 snRNA (in an area lying towards the 5' end but 3' to hairpin I) and the branchpoint sequence (BPS) of the intron results the bulging out of an unpaired adenosine, on the BPS, which initiates a nucleophilic attack at the intronic 5' splice site, thus starting the first of two transesterification reactions that mediate splicing. Lineage: Eukaryota; Metazoa; Chordata; Actinopteri; Carangiformes; Carangidae. The record is from RNAcentral.
AAACUUUUUCGAAAGAAAAAAAAAUCUGUUCUUAUCAGUUUAAUAUCUGAUAUGUCCUCUAUACGAGGACAACAUAUUAAGGUGAUUUUUAGAACUGGGGGCCGAAAAAGGGGCUUGCUCCGUUCGCUCCACGCAUCGACCCGGCAUUGCAGUACCGCCAGGUACGGUGCAACCUUC